This is a non-coding RNA of Podarcis muralis (Common wall lizard), 326 nucleotides long. NCBI's taxonomy places the organism in Eukaryota, Metazoa, Chordata, Lepidosauria, Squamata, Lacertidae. The record is from RefSeq and is a predicted model, not a curated record.
GUGCGUGGCCAGCAGAUCCGGGGUGGGAAGUUGGUGGGGGGGAGAAAGGAGCAAGAACAAAAGGAUCCGAGGCUGCGCUCCGUCCCUGGAUCUUUCCCUCUCCUCCGCGGAGCACAAGGAAAUAAACAUCUGCAUAAUGCCCAUUGCAUCAACUCCAUUCUGAAGAUUCCUUGGACUGGACAUAGGACAGCACAGGCAUUCCACUUCGAUCUGCAGAAGUGACAUUGAGUACGGGCAUCACAAGAAACUCGUCCUGCAUUUGUAAGAAAUUGAUCUUGUAGUGUGGCAGCACCCACACUUCAGAACUCCCUGUCUAUUGAUAUCAG